RNAcentral lists this ribosomal RNA (301 nucleotides) under uncultured bacterium. RNAcentral describes it as "partial 16S ribosomal RNA". It matches the Rfam family "Bacterial small subunit ribosomal RNA", at positions 509 to 807 of the family's 1533-position model. The record is from RNAcentral.
CAGCCGCCACGGGAAUACGGAGGGUGCAAGCGUUAAUUGGAAUUACUGGGCGUAAAGCGCACGCAGGCGGUCUGACAAGUCAGAUGUGAAAUCCCCGGGCUUAACCUGGGAACUGCAUUUGAAACUGUCAGGCUGGAGUCUUGUAGAGGGGGGUGGAAUUCCAGGUGUAGCGGUGAAAUGCGUAGAGAUCUGGAGGAAUACCGGUGGCGAAGGCGGCCCCCUGGACAAAGACUGACGCUCAGGUGCGAAAGCGUGGGGAGCAAACAGGAUUAGAUACCCGCGUAGUCCCUGUCUCUUAUAC